GAUGAACGCUGGCGGCGUGCCUAAUACAUGCAAGUCGAACUUGAUUUUCGGAUUGAGUGGCGAACGGGUGAGUAAGACAUAGGUAACCUGGCUUAUAGAGGGGGAUAACCACUGGAAACGGUAGCUAAUACCGCGUGAUGUCGCAAGACCAAAGAGGGGGACCUUCGGGCCUCUCGCCAUCAGAUGUGCCCAGAUGGGAUUAGCUAGUAGGUGGGGUAAAGGCUCACCUAGGCGACGAUCCCUAGCUGGUCUGAGAGGAUGACCAGCCACACUGGGACUGAGACACGGCCCAGACUCCUACGGGAGGCAGCAGUGGGGAAUAUUGCACAAUGGGCGCAAGCCUGAUGCAGCCAUGCCGCGUGUGUGAAGAAGGCCUUAGGGUUGUAAAGCACUUUCAGCGGGGAGGAAGGGUAUAGGCUUAAUACGUUUAUACAUUGACGUUACCCGCAGAAGAAGCACCGGCUAACUCCGUGCCAGCAGCCGCGGUAAUAC
RNAcentral lists this ribosomal RNA (492 nucleotides) under uncultured bacterium. RNAcentral's name for it is "partial 16S ribosomal RNA". It matches the Rfam family "Bacterial small subunit ribosomal RNA", at positions 28 to 526 of the family's 1533-position model. The record is from RNAcentral.